This 359-nucleotide ribosomal RNA is filed under the name uncultured Phenylobacterium sp. Its description in RNAcentral is "bacterial SSU rRNA". It matches the Rfam family "Bacterial small subunit ribosomal RNA", at positions 335 to 710 of the family's 1533-position model. The record is from RNAcentral. Lineage: Bacteria; Pseudomonadati; Pseudomonadota; Alphaproteobacteria; Caulobacterales; Caulobacteraceae.
AUUCCUACGGGAGGCAGCAUGUAGGGAAUCUUGCGCAAUGGGCGAAAGCCUGACGCAGCCAUGCCGCGUGAAUGAUGAAGGUCUUAGGAUUGUAAAAUUCUUUCACCGGGGACGAUAAUGACGGUACCCGGAGAAGAAGCUCCGGCUAACUUCGUGCCAGCAGCCGCGGUAAUACGAAGGGGGCUAGCGUUGCUCGGAAUUACUGGGCGUAAAGGGCGCGUAGGCGGACAGUUUAGUCAGAGGUGAAAGCCCAGGGCUCAACCUUGGAAUUGCCUUUGAUACUGGCUGUCUUGAGUACGGGAGAGGUGAGUGGAAUUCCGAGUGUAGAGGUGAAAUUCGUAGAUAUGCGGAGGAACACC